This 74-nucleotide microRNA precursor is filed under the name Bombyx mori (domestic silkworm). RNAcentral's name for it is "mir-2807 microRNA precursor family". It matches the Rfam family "mir-2807 microRNA precursor family". Lineage: Eukaryota; Metazoa; Arthropoda; Insecta; Lepidoptera; Bombycidae. The record is from Rfam by way of RNAcentral.
AUAACUCAAAUUUGUAUGCAGUUGGAACAGCGCCCCUAGCGGCAAACGUUCCAACUCCAUACAAAUUUGAGUUA